This 251-nucleotide ribosomal RNA is filed under the name uncultured bacterium. Its description in RNAcentral is "partial 16S ribosomal RNA". It matches the Rfam family "Bacterial small subunit ribosomal RNA", at positions 524 to 772 of the family's 1533-position model. The record is from RNAcentral.
UACGUAGGGUGCAAGCGUUAAUCGGAAUUACUGGGCGUAAAGCGUGCGCAGGCGGUUUUGUAAGUCUGUCGUGAAAUCCCCGGGCUCAACCUGGGAAUUGCGAUGGAGACUGCAAGGCUAGAAUCUGGCAGAGGGGGGUAGAAUUCCACGUGUAGCAGUGAAAUGCGUAGAGAUGUGGAGGAACACCGAUGGCGAAGGCAGCCCCCUGGGUCAAGAUUGACGCUACAUGCACGAAAGGCGUGGGGAGCAAA